CCUACGGGAGGCAGCAGUAGGGAAUCUUCCACAAUGGGCGAAAGCCGGAUGGAGCAACGCCGCGGGGGUGAAGAAGGUCUGCGGAUGGUAAAACCCUGUUGUUAGAGAAGAAAGUGCGUGAGAGUAACUGUUCACGUGUCGACGGUAUCUAACCAGAAAGCCACGGCGAACUACGUGCCAGCAGCCGCGGGAAUAGGUAGGUGGCAAGCGUUAUCCGGUUUUACUGGGCGUAAAGGGAACGCAGGCGGUCUUUUAAGUCUGAUGUGAAAGCCUUCGGCUUAACCGGAGUAGUGCAUUGGAAACUGGGAGACUUGAGUGCAGGAGAGGAGAGUGGAACUCCAUGUGUAGCGGUUAAAUGCGUAGAUAUCUGGAAGAACACCAGUGGCGAAGGCGGCUCUCUGGUCUGUAACUGACGCUGAGGUUCGAAAGCGUGGGUAGCAAACAGGAUUAGAUACCCCUGUAGUC
Molecule: ribosomal RNA, 465 nt
Filed under: uncultured bacterium
Lineage: Bacteria
Description: partial 16S ribosomal RNA
Rfam family: Bacterial small subunit ribosomal RNA
Source: RNAcentral